This 274-nucleotide ribosomal RNA is filed under the name uncultured bacterium. Its description in RNAcentral is "partial 16S ribosomal RNA". It matches the Rfam family "Bacterial small subunit ribosomal RNA", at positions 523 to 796 of the family's 1533-position model. The record is from RNAcentral.
AUACGGAGGGGGCUAGCGUUGAUCGGAAUUACUGGGCGUAAAGCGCGCGUAGGCGGCUUGCCAAGUUGGGCGUGAAAGCCCGGGGCUCAACCCCGGAAUUGCGCUCGAAACUGGCAGGCUAGAGACCGGGAGAGGAGAGUGGAAUUCCCAGUGUAGAGGUGAAAUUCGUAGAUAUUGGGAAGAACACCAGUGGCGAAGGCGGCUCUCUGGACCGGACCUGACGCUGAGGCGCGAAAGCGUGGGGAGCAAACAGGAUUAGAAACCCUGGUAGUCC